This 535-nucleotide long non-coding RNA is filed under the name Brassica rapa (field mustard). Its description in RNAcentral is "long non-coding RNA (BRAP_LNC007291)". The record is from RNAcentral. Lineage: Eukaryota; Viridiplantae; Streptophyta; Magnoliopsida; Brassicales; Brassicaceae.
AAGAAUAGUUGAAAAAAAAUUAUUUGAACUUGGACUCAAUGGCCCAAAGGAAAAAAAAAAGUGAGAAUUGAAUCUGAUUUUUUAAUAGGCCCAAAUGGCCCAGGAGAGAUUUGAUUUGGGCUGGAUCCAAAAAUAAUGACUCAAUAUAGAUUUGUUAUUAAUAUUACUUAAUUGCCCUUAAUGAAACAUGCAAUGUUAGUGAAGGAAACAUGCCCCUAAGGUAAUUAUGACAAUAGGAUCCUGCUUUAAUAGUAUAGAUUUAUGAAUGCUUAAAUUAUAUUAAGAAAAGAAAAAAAUAAUAAUUAAGAAUAGUUGAAAAAAAAUUAUUUGAACUUGGACUCAAUGGCCCAAAGGAAAAAAAAAAGUGAGAAUUGAAUCUGAUUUUUUAAUAGGCCCAAAUGGCCCAGGAGAGAUUUGAUUUGGGCUGGAUCCAAAAAUAAUGACUCAAUAUAGAUUUGUUAUUAAUAUUACUUAAUUGCCCUUAAUGAAACAUGCAAUGUUAGUGAAGGAAACAUGCCCCUAAGGUAAUUAUGAC